RNAcentral lists this ribosomal RNA (497 nucleotides) under uncultured bacterium. RNAcentral describes it as "partial 16S ribosomal RNA". It matches the Rfam family "Bacterial small subunit ribosomal RNA", at positions 28 to 507 of the family's 1533-position model. The record is from RNAcentral.
GAUGAACGCUGGCGGCGUGCUUAACACAUGCAAGUCGAGCGAUCAAAUUAUGACAUUACUCCUCUGAGGUUAGCGGCGGACGGGUGAGUAACACGUGGAUAACCUACCUAUAAUACUGGGAUAACUACGUGAAACCGGAGCUAAUACAGGAUAAUAUAUUCAACCGCAAGGUUCAAUAGUGAAAGACAUUUUUGUCGUCACUUCUAGAUUCAUCGGCGGCGCAUUAGCUAGUUGGGAAGUUAGCGGCUUAACAAGGCAACGAUGCGUAGCCGACAUGAGAGGGUGAUUGGCCACCCUGGAACUGAGACACGGUCCAGACUCCUGAGGGAGGCAGCAGUAGGGAAUCUUCCGCAAUGCACGAGAGGCUGACGGAGCAACGUCGCGUGAGUGAUGAAGGACUGCGGAUCGUAGAACUCUGUUAUUAGGCGAGAACAAAUGUGUAAGUAACUAGGCACGUCUUGACGGUACCUAAUGAGAAAGCCACGGCUAACUACGUG